GACGAACGCUGGCGGCGUGCUUAACACAUGCAAGUCGAACGGAAAGGCCCUGCUUUUGUGGGGUGCUCGAGUGGCGAACGGGUGAGUAACACGUGAGUAACCUGCCCUUGACUUUGGGAUAACUUCAGGUAACUGGGGCUAAUACCGGAUAGGAGCUCCUGCUGCAUGGUGGGGGUUGGAAAGUUUCGGCGGUUGGGGAUGGACUCGCGGCUUAUCAGCUUGUUGGUGGGGUAGUGGCUUACCAAGGCUUUGACGGGUAGCCGGCCUGAGAGGGUGACCGGCCACAUUGGGACUGAGAUACGGCCCAGACUCCUACGGGAGGCAGCAGUGGGGAAUAUUGCACAAUGGGCGGAAGCCUGAUGCAGCAACGCCGCGUGCGGGAUGACGGCCUUCGGGUUGUAAACCGCUUUCGCCUGUGACGAAGCGUGAGUGACGGUAAUGGGUAAAGAAGCACCGGCCAACUACGUG
Molecule: ribosomal RNA, 468 nt
Filed under: uncultured bacterium
Lineage: Bacteria
Description: partial 16S ribosomal RNA
Rfam family: Bacterial small subunit ribosomal RNA
Source: RNAcentral